GACGAACGCUGGCGGUGUGCUUAACACAUGCAAGUCGAACGGUAAGGCCCUUUCGGGUGUACACGAGUGGCGAACGGGUGAGUAACACGUGAGUAACCUGCCCUCAUCUCUGGGAUAACAGUCGGAAACGGUUGCUAAUACUGGAUAUGAGCUUGCAAGGCAUCUUGUGGGUUGGAAAGAUUUUUUUGGUUGGGGAUGGACUCGCGGCCUAUCAGCUUGUUGGUGAGGUAGUGGCUCACCAAGGCUUCGACGGGUAGCCGGCCUGAGAGGGCGACCGGCCACAUUGGGACUGAGAUACGGCCCAAACUCCUACGGGAGGCAGCAGUGGGGAAUAUUGCACAAUGGACGGAAGUCUGAUGCAGCAACGCCGCGUGCGGGAUGACGGCCUUCGGGUUGUAAACCGCUUUCAAUUGUGACGAAGCUUUUUGUGACGGUAGCAGUAGAAGAAGCACCGGCUAACUACGUG
This 466-nucleotide ribosomal RNA is filed under the name uncultured bacterium. RNAcentral describes it as "partial 16S ribosomal RNA". It matches the Rfam family "Bacterial small subunit ribosomal RNA", at positions 28 to 507 of the family's 1533-position model. The record is from RNAcentral.